This 198-nucleotide ribosomal RNA is filed under the name uncultured bacterium. RNAcentral describes it as "partial 16S ribosomal RNA". It matches the Rfam family "Bacterial small subunit ribosomal RNA", at positions 1288 to 1500 of the family's 1533-position model. The record is from RNAcentral.
UAGUUCGGAUUGUAGGCUGCAACUCGCCUACAUGAAGCUGGAAUUGCUAGUAAUCACAGGUCAGCAUACUGUGGUGAAUACGUUCCCGGGCCUUGUACACACCGCCCGUCACACCAUGAGAGUUGAGAAUACCCGAAGUCCAUGUCGAAGUGGCCGAAGGUAGGCUUGAUGAUUGGGGUGAAGUCGUAACAAGGUAAC